GGACAGGAAAGUUAACAGAGAGAAGAUUCUGUAGCUGCAAAAAUACCUCUAGGUGUUCCGGACACUAUGUGCCUAUAGCUGGCUACAGGAUCACAGCAGCCAAAAGCCCUCCAGGAAGAAGUAUGGAAGCAGCUUUAUUGAGGUUGCCAGCAAGGAUUACGGCUUCUUUGACGCAUGAACGUUUUGGAAUUUAUGAGGAUUUUAAUGAGGAUUUUCUGAAAAAAAUAAAAAUCAGCCGUGCUGUGCUGGGGGGUCUGCUCCAGCCCCCAGUCACCUUAGACUCUCCAAAGCCUG
Molecule: long non-coding RNA, 294 nt
Filed under: Homo sapiens (human)
Lineage: Eukaryota; Metazoa; Chordata; Mammalia; Primates; Hominidae
Description: HSALNT0323097
Source: RNAcentral